This 422-nucleotide ribosomal RNA is filed under the name uncultured bacterium. Its description in RNAcentral is "bacterial SSU rRNA". It matches the Rfam family "Bacterial small subunit ribosomal RNA", at positions 358 to 773 of the family's 1533-position model. The record is from RNAcentral.
GGAAUAUUGGACAAUGGGCGCAAGCCUGAUCCAGCCACGCCGCGUGAGUGAUGAAGGCCUUCGGGUCGUAAAGCUCUGUGGGGAGGGACGAACCGCCGGUGGUGCAUAGCCACCGGCAUGACGGUACCUCCUUAGCAAGCACCGGCUAACUGCGUGCCAGCAGCCGCGGUAAUACGAAGGGUGCAAACGUUGCUCGGAAUUAUUGGGCGUAAAGCGCACGUAGGCGGCUUUGCAAGUCCCAUGUGAAAGCCCACGGCUUAACCGUGGAAGUGCAUGGGAAACUGCAGAGCUUGAGUACUUAAGAGGAUCGCGGAAUUCCCGGUGUAGAGGUGAAAUUCGUAGAUAUCGGGAGGAACACCAGUGGCGAAGGCGGCGAUCUGGGAAGAUACUGACGCUGAGGUGCGAAAGCGUGGGGAGCAAAC